UAGCAUAUCAAUAAGCGGAGGAAAAGAAACCAACAGGGAUUCCCUAGUAACGGCGAGUGAAGCGGCAACAGCUCAAAUUUGAAAUCUGGCGUCUUUGGCGUCCGAGUUGUAAUUUGCAGAGGGCGCUUUGGCAUUGGCAGCGGUCCAAGUUCCUUGGAACAGGACGUCACAGAGGGUGAGAAUCCCGUACGUGGUCGCUAGCCUUUACCGUGUAAAGCCCCUUCGACGAGUCGAGUUGUUUGGGAAUGCAGCUCUAAAUGGGAGGUAAAUUUCUUCUAAAGCUAAAUACUGGCCAGAGACCGAUAGCGCACAAGUAGAGUGAUCGAAAGAUGAAAAGCACUUUGGAAAGAGAGUUAAAAAGCACGUGAAAUUGUUGAAAGGGAAGCGCUUGCAGCCAGACUUGCCUGUAGUUGCUCAUCCGGGUUUCUACCCGGUGCACUCUUCUACGGGCAGGCCAGCAUCAGUUUGGGCGGUUGGAUAAAGGUCUCUGUCAUGUACCUCCUCUCGGGGAGAACUUAUAGGGGAGACGACAUGCAACCAGCCCGGACUGAGGUCCGCGCAUCUGCUAGGAUGCUGGCGUAAUGGCUGUAAGCGGCCCGUCUUGAAACACGGACCAAGGAGUCUAACAUCUAUGCGAGUGUUUGGGUGUCAAGCCCGAGCGCGUAAUGAAAGUGAACGGAGGUGGGAACCUUUCGGGGUGCACCAUCGACCGAUCCUGAUGUCUUCGGAUGGAUUUGAGUAAGAGCAUAGCUGUUGGGACCCGAAAGAUGGUGAACUAUGCUUGAAUAGGGUGAAGCCAGAGGAAACUCUGGUGGAGGCUCGCAGCGGUUCUGACGUGCAAAUCGAUCGUCAAAUUUGGGCAUAGGGGCGAAAGACUAAUCGAACUAUCUAGUAGCUGGUUCCUGCCGA
RNAcentral lists this ribosomal RNA (909 nucleotides) under Epicoccum sp. Its description in RNAcentral is "partial large subunit ribosomal RNA". It matches the Rfam family "Eukaryotic large subunit ribosomal RNA", at positions 36 to 964 of the family's 3401-position model. The record is from RNAcentral. Lineage: Eukaryota; Fungi; Ascomycota; Dothideomycetes; Pleosporales; Didymellaceae.